UAGGGAAUCUUCCACAAUGGACGCAAGUCUGAUGGAGCAACGCCGCGUGAGUGAAGAAGGCUUUCGGGUCGUAAAACUCUGUUAUUGAAGAAGAACGUGUGUGACAGUAACUGGUCAUGCAGUGACGGUAUUCAAUCAGAAAGUCACGGCUAACUACGUGCCAGCAGCCGCGGUAAUACGUAGGUGGCAAGCGUUGUCCGGAUUUAUUGGGCGUAAAGCGAGUGCAGGCGGUCUUUUAAGUCUGAUGUGAAAAGCCUUCGGCUUAACCGAAGAAGGGCAUCG
Molecule: ribosomal RNA, 282 nt
Filed under: uncultured bacterium
Lineage: Bacteria
Description: partial 16S ribosomal RNA
Rfam family: Bacterial small subunit ribosomal RNA
Source: RNAcentral